Non-coding RNA from Drosophila virilis, 470 nucleotides. Lineage: Eukaryota; Metazoa; Arthropoda; Insecta; Diptera; Drosophilidae. The record is from RefSeq and is a predicted model, not a curated record.
CGACUGCAGGAGGAGGCGGCGGCCUCAGCAAGAAGGAGACUGCGGCUUCAACCAGAAGGGAACGGCUGGAAGGAGACGCCUGAUUCAACGAGGAGGCAACAACUUCAUUGAUCUGGAGGAAGCGGCUUUUACAAUAGAGAAAGAAACAGCGGUUCUAACAUGAAGGAGAUGCCAGCUUCAGCUAGGUGGAGACUACAAUACGAGAGCCAACAGCACCUUAAACCAGGAGGAGGAGACGGCGAUGCAGAAAACUCUGGCAGCUGAAAGAGAUCACUUGGAUGCUCAUCUAUAUUUUUGAUCAGCUUUUGCUACACUACAACCAAAGGGAAUGUGGAUAUAUGAGACUAAUGCAAUUAAGUCAUCGGAGUAAAAGCGUGGAGGCCUCAAUUUGUAGAUUAUGUUAAGCAUUUUAUUCUCUAAAAUUAAUAUAAAUUUUAUUUUAUCGAUCUAAUCUUAAUUCAAGUCCAAAA